AGUUGUCGUUUAAGGUUUUCUCACACAAAUUAAGAAAACCAUUAAAUGUUAUGUUUUACCCUUUAUUAAGAUAUUUUAUAAUUUUUUCAUUAGUCAAAACAUUAAAACAAUAGGGAUAAAACUGGAAUUUUUACAAAUUAUUUGCAUUGAAAACCUAAAAGACAACUAUUAUGAAACAAAAUUUAAAUUCUAAAACGACAACUAAACUAAAACAGAGGGAGUAUUAAACAACGAAACCCCAUUUCCCAAUAGCAGCGUUGACGUUCCUUAGCUUCAUCGAUCAACUUUGACUAUUACCAUCUGGUUUGGUUUGGAUCGACGUAUGUUCAUCAGAGUUCAAGACUGAUCCACAAACCCAGCACCAUAACCACUUGAUCUUAUGAACUUCUUCAGGAGAAGAACUACGAUAGCGAUUGUGAGCCCAACCGCCGCCCAUGUGAAGAGUCUGUCAUCGACUAGCUUCCAAA
This 467-nucleotide long non-coding RNA is filed under the name Arabidopsis lyrata. RNAcentral's name for it is "long non-coding RNA (ALYR_LNC001780)". The record is from RNAcentral. Lineage: Eukaryota; Viridiplantae; Streptophyta; Magnoliopsida; Brassicales; Brassicaceae.